Molecule: ribosomal RNA, 765 nt
Filed under: uncultured marine group III euryarchaeote
Lineage: Archaea; Methanobacteriati; Thermoplasmatota; Thermoplasmata; Candidatus Thermoprofundales
Description: bacterial SSU rRNA
Rfam family: Archaeal small subunit ribosomal RNA
Source: RNAcentral
UUCCGGUUGAUCCUGCCGAAGGCUACUGCUAUUGGAGUUCGAUUAAGCCAUGCGAGUCUAAGGGGUACUUGUACCCCUGGCAUAAUGCUCAGUAACACGUGGAUAAUCUACCCUUAGGUGGGGCAUAAACCCGGGAAACUGGGGCUAAUACCCCAUAGAUACAGAAGGCUGGAAUGCCUCUGUAUUCAAAGCUCCGGCGCCUAAGGAUGAGUCUGCGACCUAUCAGGUAGUAGUCAGGGUCACGACCUGACUAGCCAACGACGGGUACGGGGUGUGAGAGCACUUGCCCGGAGAUGGUUUCUGAGACACGAAACCAGGCCCUACGGGGCGCAGCAGGCGCGAAAACUUCGCAAUGCGGGAAACCGUGACGAGGGAACUCCAAGUGUCUAUGCAAUGCAUAGACUGUUUUUCAGCCUAAAUAGCUGUUAGAGUAAGGGGUGGGUAAGACCGGUGCCAGCCGCCGCGGUAACACCGGCACCCCGAGUGGUAGCCACUAUUAUUGGGCCUAAAGCGUUCGUAGCCGGUUUAGUAAAUUCUUGGGUAAAUCGUACAGCUUAACUGUGCGGAUUCCGGGGACACUACUAGACUUGAGACCGGGAGAGAUUAGAGGUACUUGCAGGGGAGCGGUGAAAUGUUGUAAUCCUGCAGGGACCACCAGUGGCGAAGGCGUCUAAUCAUAACGGCUCUGACGGUGAGGAACGAAACCCUGGGGCGCAAACGGGAUUAGAUACCCCGGUAGUCCAGGGCGUAAACGCUGCUGACUUG